This is a non-coding RNA of Eucalyptus grandis, 82 nucleotides long. The record is from Rfam. Lineage: Eukaryota; Viridiplantae; Streptophyta; Magnoliopsida; Myrtales; Myrtaceae.
GAAGGCAAAUGAUGGAUAAAAAAGUUAUAUACACACUGAAAUCUCAUGUGGUUUACUUUUCCGCUUAUUGUCUGAUGCCUAU